GUGAUGCUUGCUUGUCGCUUGACUUUGUGUUGUGAGCGGGUGCAGUUUUAAUAAGCGCGUUUAGUAAGUCGUUGAUCUCUAUCCGGCGCGUCUCCAGUUUUUUUUCUAUAUAAUCAAGUCUUCUCUUUCUUGAUCAUUAAUCUUUUUAUUUAGAGUUUCCAUAUCCCUUUAUUCUAUUUUAAAUUAUUCCUUUGGGUACACCUUCCAUGAACCGACCUAUUAAAACGUAUGAAGAAUUAUUUUCAGCAUUUUUCCUGGAAUUUAUUUCCACUUGACUCUGAGCAUAAUCUAAUUUCUAGAUGCUCCUAGAUAUCUUUUCAUGAGCUCUAAAUACUUUAUUUGGAUUCAUCUUCCAAUUCACCCAUGAGUUUGUCAUGCUUUUGUUAAAGCUCCCUUUUACUUUGUGUAAAAUUCUUGCUAAUUUGGGCUCAAACCCACCAUCCGACCGCAGCUCAAUUUGUCCGACGUCUUAUCGUAGGGAGACCAGGAAGCCAACUCCUUUUUAUCUUAAAACGGCC
RNAcentral lists this long non-coding RNA (518 nucleotides) under Sorghum bicolor (sorghum). RNAcentral's name for it is "long non-coding RNA (SBIC_LNC007870)". Lineage: Eukaryota; Viridiplantae; Streptophyta; Magnoliopsida; Poales; Poaceae. The record is from RNAcentral.